GACGAACGCUGGCGGUGUGCCUCACACAUGCAAGUCGAGCGGACGAAGAUUGAAGCUUGCUUCAGUCCAAGUUAGCGGCGGACGGGUGAGUAACACGUAGGAAUCUGCCUUCAGGCGGGGGACAACGGAACGAAAGUUGCGCUAAUACCCCAUAUGCGAGUAAUCGUAAAAGGAGCAAUCCACCGGAAGAUGAGCCUGCGUCCGAUUAGCUAGUUGGUAGGGUAAAAGCCUACCAAGGCUACGAUCGGUAGUUGGUCUGAGAGGAUGAUCAGCCACAAUGGAACUGAGACACGGUCCAUACUCCUACGGGAGGCAGCAGUGGGGAAUUUUACGCAAUGGGCGAAAGCCUGACGUAGCGACACCGCGUGAGCGAAGAAGCCUUUUGGGGUGUAAAGCUCUGUCAGCUGGAACGAACACAAUGACGGUACCAGCAGAGGAAGCAUCGGCUAACUCCGUGCCAGCAGCCGCGGUAAAGUCUAGC
This 481-nucleotide ribosomal RNA is filed under the name uncultured bacterium. RNAcentral's name for it is "bacterial SSU rRNA". It matches the Rfam family "Bacterial small subunit ribosomal RNA", at positions 28 to 531 of the family's 1533-position model. The record is from RNAcentral.